AAUGAUGGAAAACUGAAGCAGCCAAAUAAGCGACUUGCUCUUGCAUGCCCUCGACGAUCUCACCCAGGAAAACUUCAAAAGGUUUAAAGACAAAUCAUUACACAUUGACUUUAAAGGGAAAGAUAAAAGGAAAGAUAAAAUUCCCUGAGGGCAUCUGGAAAACGCUGACAGGAUAGAUACUACGAACCUCCUUAUACAAUUCUAUGCUGGAGAUGAUGCAGUUGAUGUGAGUAUAGAAGACUUCAUUCUGAUCAAUCUCAGAGAUGCUGCUGCCAAACUAAGAGAAGGGAAGGAAGGGAAGAACCAAAGCAUUCGCCUAUUUACCCGCUCUGUCAAGCAUUGAAGGAUUCAAACUGUAAACCAAAGAAGUUACAACUGCAUUGGUUUGAACUCACAGAAGCUAGUUGGGAGGAUCUUGCCACUGUGUUUUCCAUCCACUGGAGCCUGAUAGAUUUGGAUCUGUGUGGUACUUUAAUGAAAAUUCCUGUAAUGAGGCAGCUGUGUGAGUGGGUGAAACAUCCAAACUGCAAGUUACAA
This is a long non-coding RNA of Alligator sinensis (Chinese alligator), 537 nucleotides long. RefSeq lists it as uncharacterized. The record is from RefSeq and is a predicted model, not a curated record. NCBI's taxonomy places the organism in Eukaryota, Metazoa, Chordata, Crocodylia, Alligatoridae. The transcript is spliced from 3 exons.